ACUUAAUGAGUGGUAAUUCCUUAUCGGUUAUAGCUUAUACUUAAUUAAGUAUUAUGUUGUGUUUGCAUAUUGUUCGGGCAACCGAACGGAGUAACUGAAUUUUUAAGUUACUUAAUUUAACUUCCUGUAUAUUUUAGACCUAAUUUUGGGUUCGUAAUGCGCCGCUCUUAUGAGCGGUGUUUUUUUAU
Molecule: non-coding RNA, 188 nt
Filed under: Mesocricetibacter intestinalis
Lineage: Bacteria; Pseudomonadati; Pseudomonadota; Gammaproteobacteria; Pasteurellales; Pasteurellaceae
Description: GcvB RNA
Rfam family: GcvB RNA
About the family: The gcvB gene encodes a small untranslated RNA involved in expression of the dipeptide and oligopeptide transport systems in Escherichia coli. Included several unknown homologues in alignment (Bateman A pers obs).
Source: Rfam by way of RNAcentral